UACGUAGGGUGCAAGCGUUGUCCGGAAUUAUUGGGCGAAAGAGCUCGUAGGCGGUCUGUCGCGUCGGCUGUGAAAACUCGGGGCUCAACUCCGAGCUUGCAGUCGAUACGGGGCAGGCUAGAGUUCGGCAGGGGGAGACUGGAAUUCCGGGUGUAGCGGUGGAAUGCGUAGAGAUCCGGAGGAAGACCGGUGGCGAAGGCGGUCUGCUGGGGCAGUUUCUGGACACUGAUGCGCGGACAGCGUGGGGGACAAACAGGGAUUAGAAAACCCG
RNAcentral lists this ribosomal RNA (271 nucleotides) under uncultured bacterium. RNAcentral's name for it is "partial 16S ribosomal RNA". It matches the Rfam family "Bacterial small subunit ribosomal RNA", at positions 524 to 789 of the family's 1533-position model. The record is from RNAcentral.